RNAcentral lists this ribosomal RNA (254 nucleotides) under uncultured bacterium. RNAcentral describes it as "partial 16S ribosomal RNA". It matches the Rfam family "Bacterial small subunit ribosomal RNA", at positions 524 to 776 of the family's 1533-position model. The record is from RNAcentral.
CACGUAGGCACCAAGCGUUGUCCGGAUUUAUUGGGCGUAAAGAGCUCGUAGGCGGUUCAGUAAGUCAGGUGUGAAAUCUUUGGGCUUAACCCAAAGCGUGCACUUGAUACUGCUGUGACUUGAGUUCGGUAGGGGAGUGGGGAAUUCCCAGUGUAGCGGUGAAAUGCGCAGAUAUUAGGAGGAACACCGGUGGCGAAGGCGCCACUCUGGGCCGAAACUGACGCUGAGGAGCGAAAGCGUGGGUAGCAAACAGG